RNAcentral lists this long non-coding RNA (1050 nucleotides) under Ananas comosus (pineapple). RNAcentral's name for it is "long non-coding RNA (ACOM_LNC042918)". Lineage: Eukaryota; Viridiplantae; Streptophyta; Magnoliopsida; Poales; Bromeliaceae. The record is from RNAcentral.
UAAAUUUUUUUUAAAAAAAAUACACAUUUUUUAUUUUUUUGACUUUUAAAAAUUAUAUUUUGCCCCUUAAAAAUUUUUAAAAUAUUUUUAAAAGGAUACGACAUUAAUAAAGAGAAAAAAUAAUCAAAUUGUCUUACUCCUCAUAUAAAAAAAUAAUAAUUUUUAAUAUAUUUUUGUCAUUUUAAAAGAUAUUUUUUGCAUGAAUUAUAAGAAAUGGAUGAAAUAGUAAUGGAACCCGAUAAAAGGGGGUUAAAUGCACGUAACAGCUUGAAUGUUGAGAGUGUAUAGGUUUAAGAGAGUUAUAAAAAGGUAAAGGAAAAAAAAAAAAUUAUAAGAGAGUUUUCUGGAAAGGAUAUUUAUAAAUCACUUUAGUAGUUUAGGUCUUUAUUUUGAAAUUUCUAUAAUUAGAUUUUAGUUUGUGUAAGAAUCCAUCUUGGCGAUAAUCUCUAUUAUAGAGUGCACAUCUUACACUCUAUUUUUUAGCUUUAAAAAUAUAUUUUAAAUUGGUUAAAUUACAGAAAAUCUCUUUGUCAGUGUCCGAUUUUUCAUUUUUUUCCAAUUUCAUUUAAAAACCUAUGCUUUACACUGCUUAAAAAAUAAAAAAUGUUCACAGUACAGUAUGCUGUGAUAAAAUGACCAAAUUACCCUUCAUCUUCUUCGAAGUGGGUGUGAAUGGAAAGACAUGGACAAGGGCGAAGGUGAGGCGUCAGAGGCGGACGAGGGCGUGCGUGCGGGCAUAGACAGAGAGGUAGGCAAGGGCGAGGCUGCGCAGCGGAGAGUGAGGCGGUGCGGCCGAGGAUGAGAAAGGAGGAGGAUUUCAGGUAUAUUUUUGAUAUAAAAAAUAGAAUAUAAACAGAACUCUAAAGGAACACUGGCAGCGGGGGUCAAAGUGAACAUUUUUUAAUUUUUAAGGGGACAAAGUAUAGAUUUUUUAAUGAUAGGAAGAAAAUAAAAAAGCAGGUAUUGACAGGAAAAAUUUUUGUAAUUUAGCCUUUUAAAUUUUUAGCAUUAAAAAAAGUUAAUAAACGACUGAGUAAAUCUAGGUCUAUG